UACGAAGGGGGGCUAGCGUUGCUCGGAAUCACUGGGCGUAAAGCGCACGUAGGCGGCUUUCUAAGUCAGGGGUGAAAUCCUGGAGCUCAACUCCAGAACUGCCUUUGAUACUGGGAGCCGCUUGAGUCCGGGGAGAGGUGAGUGGAACUCCGAGUGUAGAGGUGAAAUUCGUAGAUAUUCGGAAGGAACACCAGUGGCGAAGGCGGCUCACUGGCCCGGUACUGACGCUGAUGUGCGAAAGCGUGGGGAGCAAACAGGG
Molecule: ribosomal RNA, 259 nt
Filed under: uncultured bacterium
Lineage: Bacteria
Description: partial 16S ribosomal RNA
Rfam family: Bacterial small subunit ribosomal RNA
Source: RNAcentral